GGUACCCACGUUCGGACUGCAGGCUGCAACCCGCCUGCACGAAGCCGGAGUUGCUAGUAAUCGCGAAUCAGAAUGUCGCGGUGAAUGCGUUCCCGGGUCUUGUACACACCGCCCGUCACACCAUGGAAGUUGGGGGUGCCCAAAGCCGGCAAGCAAAUAUGCUGUCUAAGGCAAAACCAAUGACUGGGGUGAAGUCGUAACAAGGUAUC
This 209-nucleotide ribosomal RNA is filed under the name uncultured bacterium. Its description in RNAcentral is "partial 16S ribosomal RNA". It matches the Rfam family "Bacterial small subunit ribosomal RNA", at positions 1282 to 1500 of the family's 1533-position model. The record is from RNAcentral.